CGGAAAAGUAUUCCAUCAAUUUUGACAAGAUCAUCAACAUCACUGGAUGAAAUGCAGCCAAAAACCCUAAAACAGUCAUGAAAAAGCAGCCAGUGUCCAAAGAAAAACUUUGAAAGACGUUAAGAGAACCUAGAAAACUAUUACUCAUGAUCAUUUUUUCCAAAAAUAACGAAAUAUAAAAUUAAAAAUCUGGCUCCUAGAAAGCAAAGAUAUAAAGAAAUGGGGGUAGCUCAAGAUUUUUCCGUGGACAUGAUAAAUAUUUGUCAGCAUGAACGUGGUUGAUAUUAACAUGGUAACAAAUGGAUCACAGCAUGAUAGUAUUAGCAGUUAGCUUCCUCACAGAUGUCCUUUCAUCACUGCAGACUUUUGGCGUCGGUCUCCUAAACACAGAUUGCACCGUGUCCUGGAAAAAAAACAAAAGAAAAAAAAACAAAAAGAAACAAGAUUCUUGGACGAAGUGUAACACAUGUCUAGGAAAGUGGGCCCUUCUCUUGCUAGCAAGGAAAUCUCUAGAAGACAAAAUGAUGUGUGAAAUUAGGUGAGGUGGCUUUGCUUUCAGCUAAACAUCCCACUCAUUUAGCUGUUUCUUUAUUUCCUCCACACUGUCCUACUUCACUGUACAUUAUAUGGAAGUUAUUUAGCUCAGUGUUUGGUGAACCGUGUAACCUUGUUAAUUGUGUACGGCUCUACAGCCUCGCAGCUUUUCCACAGAGCCUACUUCAAGUGAGUCACGUGAAGAAGACUUAAGAGCGCUGAAGCAAAAGACAUGUUACAGCUCUACAGUUCUACGAUGAGGAGAUAUAGCGGGGGUGUAGUCAUCAGAGGCCAAAAUAGGUCAGCCUGGAAGGGCUUGCUAUCGUAAGUGAGCUGCCAAGAUGUGUUAUGAGAUGGAGCCCAUAUUUGAAAAACAUACGCCCAUUCACAUGCACAUCAAUUUUUUAUUAGAGAAUGCAAGAAAAUGCAAUUAACUAUUAAGUGGACAAGGCUAAACAAGGGGGAAAUGAAAUUCAAUAUUUACCGUGUUGUUUGAUGAGAACUAAUGAAGUUUGAGAAACAAGAAUUGUGGAGUCGGUUGAGAUUCUGGGCAAUGUGACAACUGGGGCUCUCAAAAUAAUCUUGAGCAUCUUCCAGUGGCCCUAUUCAGCUCUGGGGCCCCUCCAUCAGUCGAUUCCCCCUUUAAUUAGCAGCCCUGCAAGUCUGGUUUUUAAUCUGCCAAAUCAUCACAACUCUGAUGUGGAAACUCUGCAGAAAAAGCGUUCUGCUCACAGUCCUUUUGGCCCUUGAUGAAUGAAAAAUUCCCUCUCCGCAGAUUCACUCACACAUUCCCCAGAUGAUGAUUAAUUACCACUGGUAUUAUCUCAUGAGAAGACAUUUUUCACAAGGAUUGCAGACAUGACUAUUCACUUCAGUGAGAGAAAUGCAGAAUAUAAUAUCUCAUUUGUCAUCAUCGGGUGAAUUCUCACACCAGACUGAAAUCACAACGUUUUGAUAUUUGUUACUUAAUGCUAAUCAGUGACAGCUUAACCAGCAGACUGUCACUUAUAUAGGGAAUGGUAGUUUGAUUAAAAAUCAUCACCAGAAAAUUUAAAAGAAAUACUGUGUCACUUUGAUGACACAAAGUAAACACUGGAGAAUUGAUUCUUUCCAGGAACUGUAUUUAAUGUGAUCUUUGACGUUAGCAUCAAUGCUGUUGUUUUAAAGCUGCAAUAAGCAGAAAGUUUGAAAUCUUUAAGUCACAGAGACUGAUGUUCGGAUUUUUGAUGAAUUUGCUUUUUAGAGAACUCGAUGUACAGGCAUGGUUUAAAAAAAAAGAAAAAAAGAAAAAAAAAAGAAUGUAUGCCCACUAUGUCCAGAUUUGACAUAUCUGGACAUAAUAAAAACAUAUCUAGUUCUCACCAGGUGUUAAUAUCUCAAUAUUAUAAACAACAACAACACAUAUUACAGAGUGUUGUUAUUUAGUUAAAAAAAGCCAAGUACACACCAUGAUCCACUUUUAGCAGCAAUAACUUGCAGUAAUAACUUUCUGUUUGAUUUUAUCACUCUCACAUCAAUGUGGAGGAAUUUUGCUUUGCUCUUGUUAUUUCAAUUCAUUGAGAUUUGCAGAAAUUUGUUCAUGCAAAACAAACAAAGAACUGCACACAUCUGUAUUGCACUCAUUUGAUUUCGGCACCAUUUUCUCUGCAAUAAGUUCAAAAAGGCCAGUUUAGUUAGUACUUGUGGAAACCCCUCCUGCAUGCCUAUGUCCUUUUUAGUAGGGUAGUCACUCGCUAACUGUCUAUUGUCCUCUGUAUUAUAAUUGACUGAGGAUUUGAAUAUUCUUCCUGGCUGGGGGCAAAAUAAUUAACAUCAUGGAAGAAUAACUUGUGCAUAUCAUCACAGAUACAAGGCUUUCACUGUAAUAUAUCAAUAUAGAGUUAUAUAUUUUAAAGAAACAUUGAUUUUUCUGUCUAAAUUCAGUCAUCUAUCAGUUAAAAUGUUAAUAACUCAAUUAUUAAACUUAAACUUUGUUUCAUGAUGAUGCCUGGUAUUAGACUCCAGUCAGUAUCAGUUUGUAGUUUCAGGAUUUUCUAUGUUUUAUCUGUGAAAUUUUAUACAUUAAAGGAAAAUAACAGAGUUUUAUCAAAUAUGAAAACGGUCUUUAGUUAGGGAGAGCCUUCAUCACCCUUCUGAGUCUCAGAGAGAUGCAGAAAAUAGAGACUUUUACUACCUGGAGGAGGGGGAAGAGAGGAGGAAAAGUGAGUCGAGAAAUGGCCCUUGUGCUUAUUUUAUUUAGGCCCGCUUUCUCUCUUUUUCUUUCAUUUCUAUAAAUAGACAGACGCUUGGCAGCUGAGGGGGUAGUCCACGCAGAACAAAUGCACCCCCUGGCUGUUUCACUUCAUUCGCCACAUAAUGAGCCAGACGGAACACGCACAGAUCGCCGCCGUCACUUCCACUCUCCCCGCGACCGAGGCAGGGGCCACAAGUUGCCAUGGAGAUGUGGCUGUGGGGCACAGGGGCCCGGGCAAUGUGACGCUAAGUCCCUCAGUCGAACUGACCUCUCCGCCUUGAUCUGUGUCUCAUCCGGUCUUCCUUCAUAUCGCCAUCCCGUACUUUUGAUGCUCCACCCUCCAUCCUGUCCUUCUGUCUUUCAUUCAGCACCAUAAGGCACAAGGGAGACGAGUAGAUGAAUGUGGAGUCCAGUGUCCUACACUCGUCUUCUGUGCACCGUCCCUCUGAUGUAAUGGAGUCGGUGCGGGUAUCCCUCACUCACCCAUCUUCCCCUGCAAAUAUAUUCCGGACCAGUGAACCACUGAAUGCUCAGCUCCAAUAGCUGCAGCUGCGGAGGUGGCACUCUUCAUAGACAGGCUACACUAUGUUCACCGUUCAUUACCACCUAUUGUAAGUGGACGUCGCCUAGGGGGUGAUGUUGAUGUUAACUUUCCUGAUGACCGCUCCCUCCUGUUUCUCUCUCUGGCCGC
Long non-coding RNA from Astatotilapia calliptera (eastern happy), 3458 nucleotides. The record is from Ensembl. Lineage: Eukaryota; Metazoa; Chordata; Actinopteri; Cichliformes; Cichlidae.